GGGCUGAUUCUCUACGCUGAUCCUCCUAUAAUCCCGUAGAUGAUUAUCGUAAUUACCCCCUCAGUCUUCGAGUGAGGAAAAAAUUAUAGGAUGAAUUUAAGCAUGAUUGCCACGUGGAAGGGCAUAUUGGGAAUUACGAGGAAAUGAAAUUUGUACAAAUGGGAAUGCUGGGGAGAGGAUUAUGUUUACCUUCACCUUAUCAGCAAAUGAAGAACGAAUGAUUCACAGAAAACCAAAAGCCACAUCUCAUUUUUAUACUUAAAUUCACUUCUCCUUUUCCAUACUUUGAUCAAACACUUUCCCUUGUCUCUGCUUUUCUUUUUUCUUUCCCUUUUCUGGUUGAUUAUGGCGUUAGCUGAGAGCUCGAACUUGCUUUCUUAUUCCUCUACUAUCAUGCUUGAAGACGAGGAUGAUCAUGAUACUGAUGAUGGGUAUGAUAAUGAUCAUCAAUCUCAUCCCCAUAAUUUGUCUAGGUUGUCUGUCUGUACCAGUUCUAUGUAUACUAUUGAAGAUGAUGAUUGUCAAGAUUGCGAUCGUAUGAGGAUGUUCGUGUCAAGAUUGUCCUUUGAAAGCUUCGAUGCAGAUGAGGAACUUUCCAAUGACGAAGAAGGGAUUGGCAUGCUUGACCUCUCCUUGGAUUCGGAUGAGGAAACCGGUUGCUACUCGCUUCCAGCUACACCCCCUCGCCAUAGAAAUAGCGGAGGGCGGGUAAAUAAGCUGCUUGUGGGUGUCAAGGAGUAUGCCAGUGAAAAUGAAGCUCAAAAGGGUAAGAUGAGAAACAAUCUGAGGACGAGGAGAAGAAGGGUUGUAAGAGAAAAAUUGGUUGAUGGUGAUGAUAAGAGUAAAAAGAAGGAUGAGGAGAGUAUGGCUGUGGGAAUGGGUAAUUACCAUUGUUACUGUAAUAGUUUUAGUGGGGAGAGUGAAGGCGGAGGGCUGGUGGUGAUAACGAGGCCAAAGGGAGGGAGGAGGUCAUUGUGCAUGGACAUGGAGGAAGUGAAGGCUUGCAGAGAUCUUGGUUUUGAGUUGGAGCAUGAGCGCAUGCUGGAAAUGCCUGGUCGUGUGUCUCUGUCAGGAUCUACCCUCGAUACAAGCAGCGGUGGCAAUUCGCCUAUCGCCAACUGGCGGAUUUCUAGCCCUGGUUAGUGUUCGAUAUAUAAUCUCUUCAUUCUCAUUCUGAAGCAUAAUUUUGAGUCUAGAGAUUGAAAUGGGGACUAAGAAUUAAUUGAACACUUCAAAUUAUUACAGCUUUGCAUACUGGGCUUGUGUUAUUUCUUGCAUUGUUGCUUAAAGCUAGAAACUUUGUUCCGAUUUGCGUGUUUUUGAGUGUUACUUUUUUAUGCAGGUGAUGAUCCACGAGAAGUGAAGGCCCGCCUAAAGGUAUGGGCACAAGCAGUGGCGCUUGCGUCUGCGUCUCGACACUGCGGCAUCUGACUGUUAAUGUUUGUGGAUUCUAAUCCAUUCCUCUUUUUGCAACUUUUUAAUUUUUUUUACAUCUAAACCAAAAAAGAAAUAUAUCUAUAUUUUGAAGGAUACAUAUAGUCUUGAUUUUCAAUCUAGGUUGGGUGAUUUGGAAUUUGGGGAUGGACUUUCUUUUUCCUUGGUGGAAAAAUAUUUUCCUUUUUUGAAGGUUAUCCUGAUCAUUUUGUCGGUAGAUUGUUGUGGUGUUGGGAUUUCAAGGGGAAGUCUCUAUCACUGCUUUCCUUCUUUACAUGUUUCAGCUGUUGUAAAUAUGAUCAGAUGAUCGGCGCUGGAUGCCUACCGGUUGACUCAAAACAGUUGAUUAUUACUAUUGUGAUUUUUGAUGCUUGUAUUAACCUUUCAUUGUGGUUUGUUAUUAACAGUAUUGAGAGUGAGAUUGUCUUGCAAUGUGUUAUUAAAAAUGAGGGAAAAAAAAAGGUUAAGUUAAUUUACUUGUGACUUUAGAGCUCUACGUUAUCAAUGUCAUGUUGAAGUUUUAUGUUAUGAGCAAAACCA
RNAcentral lists this unclassified non-coding RNA (1974 nucleotides) under Hevea brasiliensis (rubber tree). Lineage: Eukaryota; Viridiplantae; Streptophyta; Magnoliopsida; Malpighiales; Euphorbiaceae. The record is from RNAcentral.